GCAAACUUGGUCAUUUAGAGGAAGUAAAAGUCGUAACAAGGUAUCCUUUCCCCGGAAGCCUUGCACGCAAUAGUCCCUUCGGGGGGCAAGAGGAACAAUCUGGCUGGAACGACUUCCCUGGGGGGGUCUACCAGCAGCCACCUACGGGUGGUUCACAGACUAAAUGUGCCUCGCCGACCACCCACGUCGGUCCUGAUAUAGUCGAUUCCCAGUGAUCAUGCUCCGGGUGUCUACAGUUCCGUAGGUGAACCUGCGGAAGGAUCAUUACCAGAGAAUCGUGCCCGGUAGGUUCGCCUACCGGCGAGCACACUCUCCAUCCCUUGCUCAUUUACGUUGUUGCUUUGGCAGGAUCGUCCCCCGGGGCACCUGCCAAAGGUUCAAACCAACUCUGUCAUCUUGAUGCAGUCUGAAUACACAACAUAAUAGCCUAAAACUUUCAACAACGGAUCUCUUGGUUCUGGCAUCGAUGAAGAACGCAGC
Molecule: unclassified non-coding RNA, 480 nt
Filed under: uncultured fungus
Lineage: Eukaryota; Fungi
Description: partial contains small subunit ribosomal RNA, internal transcribed spacer 1, and 5.8S ribosomal RNA
Rfam family: 5.8S ribosomal RNA (bases 432-480)
Source: RNAcentral